GGCCAGACUAGGUGGGCUUGUAGGUUAUCUCUGAGAGGUUUUGUUUUUUUUUUUUUUUUUUAAGACUAGCCCAGAUUAGCCUUGAAUUCACUAUACAGAUCAGACUGGCCUCGAAACCAAAAGACAUUGUCUUACUUCAGCCACCAGUGCUAGGGUUACAGAGUUCUGGAUUUUUAACUGUAUUACUCGAUGAGCAAGAGGCUGCUGUGGACAGGGGAUGGGCAGGGUCAUGCCUGCCUACAGACAAGCUCACCUGCCACUUUUAGAUUGGUGGUGAGGUUUGACCGAGGGCAAACUGAAGAAUAAUUCCCAGAGCACAACCGUGCUUGUCGCUCCCUACAUCUAGAACUUGUAUUAGGCUAACCAUGGGGAGAAUUGAAAUAUAUGUGUGUGUGUGUGUGUGUGUGUGUGUGUGUGUGUGUGUGUGUGUGUAUAUAUAUAUUUUUUACUAGUAUUUAAAAGAAAAAUGGACUCUCAGGUGGCAUGGUGUUCAGCCUUACAUAGAGGAGUGAGGCAGAUGAGGGCUCCAGCCCUCUUGUACCUGACAGCAUGUUUGUGAGGUAGUGUCAUAGACUGUCGCAUCCAACACCGGUACACCCCAGGUGCUGUCCAGCUAUCUUACAUGAGCCCUGAUUUAAUCUAGUAUGUCCCUGGAGCAGUAUAGCCCAAUGAAAAAGAAACAGGUGAAAGCAGCUCAAACAAUCUCUUUUUAUUAAACUCAAUAAAUCAGAAGUAUUAUUUCAGGGUGGCAUCCAUAGGAUACUGGAGAACAAGAGAUUUCACUUCUUUUCCCCAAGUCUUUGCAAUCCAGUGUGUAUUCCCCCAAGCAUUGUAUAUAUGUCUCCGUAAUGAAAUGUCCUCGAUUUGGUAUGCUCAAAAGGCACACAUGGCCGGAGGCCUGGUCUGGACAGCACAACCCUGUCCUCACAGACAUCACAGAAUCUGGACUCCCAUGCUCAGUACCGAAAGUGCAGGUCCCUCCCCAACAACUAAGCAGCAGUAUCUCUUACAUCUUAACAUUGAACACCUUGUCUUCAGUGAGUUGUGGAAGUUGUGGGCGUCAAUGUAAGGCUCUGUGCUUCAGUUUUCCAUGAGAAAGGUUCUCACCCCUGACCCUAGCCCCCUGGUUCCAACUGUUACAACACUUUAACACUGUUUCUCGUGUUGUGGUGACCCCCAACCAUAACAUUAUUUUCACUGCCACCUCCUUACUGUAAUUUUGCUACUGUUAGGAGUUGUAAUGCUAAAUAUCUGAUUUGUAGGAUGGUGCUUAGGUGACCCCGUGAAAAGGCCAUUGGACUCCCACUCAACCCCAGGUUGAGAAACUCUGUUCUAGGCUAAGGGAGUUCAAAUGGUUUUUCCUUCUUAGCUUACUUUUGGUUGGUCCUGAUCUUUGGUUGUAAACUCCUCUAUGACAACUGAAAAGUGGGAAAUUAUCUCUUAAAGGGAAAGUGACAGAGCCCCCAGGAGUCUUUUCACACCCAACAAAACAAAACAACAACAAAAGGACUUUGAGAAGGGAAAUUUGAAUACUAACUAGGCACUUAAAUGACUAAUGAAACUAUUGGGUUUCUGUUUUGUUUUGUUUGUUUUGGUUUUGUUUUGUAUCUACAGUACUGUGGCAAAAUUUUCAGAUGAAAAACUCAGAUUAAUAUACAAUCAGCUUUCCACACCUUCAUGUUUUGCUUCCACAGAUCAACCAAACUUGGAUAUAAAAAAAGAAAGUUUUCACAUUGCAUCUAUCUUGAGCAAUACAGACCUUCCCACCAUCAUUUCUUAGGUAACAUAGCAGUUUCUGUAUCACUGAUGUACUAACAAUAAGUAAUCUAGAGAUUAUGUUUACAGGAGGAGAUGUGUAGACUAUAUGCAAAUGGUAUGCCAUUUUAAUUCAUUCAUUCAUUUUUGAGACACGCUCUCACUAUGUAGCCUUGCCUGGACUGCAGCUCAUUUUGUAGACCAGAUUGGCCUGGACCACACAGAGAUCUGCCUGCAUCAGCCUUACAGGUGCUGGGAUUGAAGACAUGGGCCACCAUGCCCACCUGACUGUGCCAUUUUAUAGAAGGGAAUUUUGAUAACUAGGAAACUCUUGCAUCUAAUCUUCCUCUGAAUACUUAGGGGUGGCUGUAUUUAUGGGUGGACCAAUAGGAUGUCAUAGAUGUACUUCCAAAUUACGUAUUUAAUUGGAAGCCAAGGAGGGUAGGAAGGAGUCAAACAAAAUUAGUCAUUGACUAAAACAGCGUGUGAGGCCUAAGUAUCCAUUAUAUUACUCUCUUUGCUUUCACAGGUUGAAUUUUUCCCC
RNAcentral lists this long non-coding RNA (2299 nucleotides) under Mus musculus (house mouse). RNAcentral's name for it is "long non-coding RNA chr13:99203601-99205900". Lineage: Eukaryota; Metazoa; Chordata; Mammalia; Rodentia; Muridae. The record is from RNAcentral.